CACAGGUGCAAAGAACAAACCCUUUCUCCAAGAACAGUUACUCUCUGACACCCAUCAGAACAAGGCUAUUUGGAAGUCAUCUCGAAACAGAGGAGAAGAGGAGCGAGCAAGCCACUGAGCUGCCUGCUGGAUGGACUUUGGUUGCUUUUGCACAUACAGAUCAAAAGCCUCCUGAGCAGUUAACCCUCAGCAAGGGAGCGACUCCUACAAACAGAGAGGAUUUGGCAAAAGGGAGUGAGCCCUGCGUGCAAAUGCUUUGCCUUUAUCAGCACUGGAGAUUUCUAGUCGCCUCUAUAAAUAUCCUAAAGAUGAGCUUUGGCUCCACUCUGAAAACAGCCCUGGGACCUACAAGCCAUCUUAACCUGCAGGGGGUAAGGUUCCCCAGAC
This 387-nucleotide long non-coding RNA is filed under the name Sus scrofa (pig). Its description in RNAcentral is "lncRNA (ENSSSCG00065017062.1)". The record is from RNAcentral. Lineage: Eukaryota; Metazoa; Chordata; Mammalia; Artiodactyla; Suidae.